GAGCAGAUCGCUGGGACAGCCCGCUGAAUUUCAUGCGAUACUGAGGAGGAAGAGCGAGAUGCUGAGAAACAUUGAAAAAAACACAUUUAAUUUACUUUGCCGAAAAUUACGCAGUAGUGCCGAGGAUGAGGUUAGGACAUGACUCUUAUAUAGAGUCAUGAACACGUUUGCCGCCAUCACGUUAUAAUUUUACGAGGUGGGAAUGGCAAAACCUGUGUUUUCUUUAUAGUUUGAUCAAGUCUUGAACUAAAGAAACCUCAGCUGCGCCAGUGAAGUCUAAAGCCUCUUAACAGAAGACCUACGGCUUGGGUGGAGGGUCUGCCCACUUCUGCUGUUUGGGAAUGUGACCUCAACGAGCGGAGCAUGCUGUUUACAGAGAAUACAAGCUCUUCCAAUUAACCCAGGGUCUGGUGCUGGGGAUUCGCCAGAGCGCAAGCAGACGUGGAGUUCACAAACCGCAAACACUGAGUGACAUGGAGGUGUCUGAAAAUGCAAGGUCUCUUACAUAAACGCCCCUUGGGGUCAGGCUGAGAAGAAUCCUGUUGUUAGUGUGAGGGGGACUAAGGUGGCUGACAUCUUGGGGAAACAGUGCAGUGAUGUCCUCACGACUGAGAGAUGAAGGUCAGGAUCGGAUGCACGACGCCACCAUUACAUUCGCAUUCUCUCAGGAUCUGCAGUCCAUUUGGGAAUUUCUUCUGAUGUCACAAGAAAGCAGAGAACUUGUUGGUACCAGUGCAUUACACCUCAAAGAUGUUGCAGCAGACAAAGAGAAUGCAAAACUUCUCCCGUUUCACAAAGCCAUUCUGUCACAGAUGACACUUAUCUGUUCAUGAAAACUACCAGACUAAAUUAAACUAACAGGCUUCCCCCAUCUAUCUAAAUAACAUAUGAUUUAAGGUUCUGAGUAUUUUGCGAUGUGUUAAGUUGCAGAUAUAUUUCAUUGACAGUUUUACUAUCAGGCCCAUUAGCCUGAGAAAAAACGACUGUUUAAAAAAUGAUAUAUAAACAACUUUCCAUUCUAAAACUGCAUUGUACCGCAGCUAAUAUGUCAAUGACAUAUUUAAACUCUGAGCUAGCUGAAAACUAUGAUUACAUUAUACAUUUUAUAGUAUUAACACUGCUUUCUCUGGUAGCGUGUGUUAAUUUCUAUUUGUGUAUUACUGUGUCUGUACAGCAGGUAAAGUAUUGAACCCGUCACCAAUUUUCCAAGUAAAUAUAUUUCUAAAAGGUGCU
Oreochromis niloticus (Nile tilapia) is the source of this 1233-nucleotide long non-coding RNA. RefSeq lists it as uncharacterized. The transcript has 4 exons. Lineage: Eukaryota; Metazoa; Chordata; Actinopteri; Cichliformes; Cichlidae. The record is from RefSeq and is a predicted model, not a curated record.